UAUCAAUUUUUCGGGACAGUCACAUCAGAACGAAGAAGCUUUAGGUGGUCAUCGGCAGCACUAUAAUAAAAACAAAUAUAAUAUAAUCAAACGAAAAAAUGAUUCGCAAUAUUUAUAUUUUUGUUAUUUUAAUAAGCAUCGUUAUUGCUUCACCUCCAAUGAUUUAUGAAAACUAUCGGCCAGAACACUCUAACUCCAUUAAUAUAUUGGAAAUCCCAAUAUCACUUUUGCAAAGUCUUCAAAACUCAUUAAGAGCCAUUCAAAUACCAAAAAUUACAUUGUAGCUUUUAUAUUUUGGAUUUAAAUUAAAAAAAAAUUGUAAUUGUUUUAAAAAAAUCGUUAAGAGAU
This is a long non-coding RNA of Eupeodes corollae, 348 nucleotides long. RefSeq lists it as uncharacterized. The transcript is spliced from 3 exons. The record is from RefSeq and is a predicted model, not a curated record. Lineage: Eukaryota; Metazoa; Arthropoda; Insecta; Diptera; Syrphidae.